CCUGAAAAAAAGGGUAGAGAAUGGACCAAGGGAGUCUCUUUCUAUAAACAACAGCAGCAGUCUGCAACUCACCACUGCUUCUAUCAGAGCCUCUCUUGAACUUCAUGAAAUCCACAAUAGAAUUGUUUUCUAAGAACUGUUCUGCUGACCCAUCUUGAUUAUUGGAAGAAAAAGCAAACACUUUUGAAGAUCGUUGAAAAGAAAAGCAAAGAAAAGGUGAAAUUUUGACUGGCUUUGAGUUGUUUUUAAACAUUAGUAUAGGCCUCAGAGAAGUGGAUGUAGAAGAUAAAUGAGAGGUUCAAAUUGAAGGAAUUGAAGAGGUGGGCAGUGAGAGUAUAAUCGAUAGGGAACUUGAGACCAUAAUUGCUUCUCUCCACACCCCACGAUGGAGAGAGAGGGAGAGAGAGAGAGAGAGAGAGAGAGAGUAGGAAAGAUGAAGAAGGGAAUCAUAAUAGAAUUACUAAUGCCAAAGGUUUUACAAUUACAGAAUGCAAAGAAAUUUGUAAGCAUAAGUUGAAAAAGAUUAACAACAAGAAGGCACAGGCAUAAUGAAUGGCCAUAUGAAUGAAUUAAUAAGAGAUUGAGGGAAUACCUAUCAUGAGGACAUUUCCCUCUUUUCAUAAACUAAAACAACAACAAACAGGACAUUCUUUCCUGAUCAUGGACAGGAUAUGCAAAAUCUUUGACAAACUUAGACCCCAAGACAGUUGGAGGAACGUGGAUAUAAACAUUAGAAAACAAUGGAAUCCUACCAGACUACCAAAAAUAUAUUACUUGAACAUUCUUUCCUUAUCAUGACUAUAACAGUUGACAGCCAGCUUCCAAAUCCUCUAAGGUGAUGGUCUGCAGUUCAUCGGUAUCGAUACAGUUGAAAUCAAGCCUGAGAUCCAAAGUCUCUCUAGCAUUAGUUAACAUGACAUUUACUAAACCUCCAUUCAUUUCCCUACGCUGCUUUUCUGUUGUUUCCCUCUUGAUCAGGGCGGCAAUGGCAUCUCCACUGCAUGAAGAAUGUAAUUUAAAACCAUACAGCGAACUCCCUUCAUCCUGAUUAUUCAUCUUGAUGUGGCAAAUAUUUGCUAAAUCUUCAGAAGAGAAGUCAUUAAAAUGGAAAAACUUGGUAACCCUUCUACAGAAACCCUCAUUUGAAGAUAUCACACGCUUCAUAGGUUCACUAUAGCCAGCAAAUAUGACUACGACUUUUCCACUGUCCAUAACAGACAUAAUUUCUUCUAAGGCUUCAAUCCCGUAGUCCUUCUCAUCCUGUUUCUGCGAUGGUAUAAGCCGAUAUGCUUCAUCCACAAAAAGAAUUCCUCCCUCUGCUUCUGCAAUCUGCAACAGGUGUUGAAAAUUAGUUUGGCAAAAGAAAGCAUUACAUUAUCUGCCAAGAAAGCUGACAUUUGAUUUCAGAAACCCCAGCAACAAACCUUUCUUCUAGUCUUGGGUCCAGUGUGACCAACAAAUUCACCAACCAAAUCUGUACGUUGUACUUCUGUUACCUUGUCAGUAGGUAGAACUCCUACCAUAUGCAGUAAUCUUCCAAGUAUUCGAGCUACCAUGGUCUUACCUAUAGAAUAUGAUACUUAUCAUCUCACUUUAUGACUUAAUCAAAGAUAUACAGAAGAAUUUGAGUUCAAUCACAAGAUAAUUUAAAAUCAAUCAGUUGACUAUUCUUGUACUUCUCUACCACUUUUCAGCAAAAAUUGAGAUCCGGACUCCUAAAGAGAAAUAUUAAGGGUUUAAACAAGAGAGCAACAGGCAUACAUGUUGAUAAACUGAAGAAAUGAAUGAUAAUCUUUUUUGUCACCCGAGAACAUCAUGAGCAGCUUAGUCUUUCCUUUUCACAUCUAAUAGGGGAAGCCAACUGGCAACGUAAACUAUAAGGUACAGGUAGCAUUAACUGGGAAAACUUGCAAAUGUUUGAGAAGAACAAUCUCAGAAACAAAAUGGGAUGUAUUGACUUAUCUGGAAAAAGAGAUUUUGGUCUAUAAUUUAAUGAAAACUGUGGUUCAGUAAAUAGUGGAAUACAAAAGGGGGCAUCGAGCCAAUUUUUUGGCAACAAGGCCUUAUUAAAUUUUGCUCAGAACUCCAUUGUCUGUCUCCACAACACAAGAGUGUUAAGAGUUAAUCCAAGCUAAUGACACAAGUUUGACAAUACACAUGAGAUUGCAAUCAUUAAAUCAUUGUUAAAUAGUAAUGGGAUUUGAGAAUUCUGAAACACUUGCAAAAAGGAAGAUCAUAAGUUAUUCACCAGAAGAGAAGGCAAAAUAGCAUAGUAAAACUAAAAUAUUAGAUCAACAUUUUCUUUCUAUGGAUUUCAGGACUGAAGAAUGAUUUAUGGAAUAUGAUGAAAUAGCAUAAUGAUACAGAAACAAUCAAACAUCCCAAUACCUGUUCCAGGGCUACCCAAGAAAGCCAUAUGAGGCGGUCUUCUCAGACCAACUUUCAUACCAAGGGCCCUGCGCCUCUCAUCCAAAAGCAUCCCCUUUGCCCAUUUUCUCAGUUGUAUCUUGAGGUCAUGCAACCCCACAACAUUUGAUAAAGCAUCUUCAAGUUCAUCCAUCUUAGCUUUUGUUUUAGAGCAUGCUUCAAGUGCUUUUCUCUUUCUCUGCUCUUCAAGAUGCCACUGCAAUAGUUUACACAACUCCUCACUUCUUGGACCUGGUGAGAGAUGAUUCAAAGGAGUCAUGCCUUCCUGCAAAUUUAAGGUUACACAAAUUACCAGUGUUUUAUAAUAAAGAAAAUUAAUUUAAAAUGGAAAAAAUUGAGCACUGGCAUCUACAAUACAUUGUCCUCUGCACUGCAAUCAGCAUUAUACUCCAGCAAUGUCUUAACAGUUGAGUGAUCUUCCACUCUGAUUGAGUACCAAACUGCAAGGUGUAACGGUGUCAUUCCAUUCUGCAAGAAUAAGACAAGUAGGAAAAAAGCAGUUCAUAUUAGAAAUUGUCUUCCAAAGUUCCCAGUUUUAAUUUGAAACAAAACAAAAAAUGGGUAACAUGGCGCCAAGAAAGCAGACAUUCGCUUUGGCUUCAAUAAUAGCACCAUGAGCAAGAAGCAACCGUGCAGCUUCGCUGCAACCAUUCUUUGCUGCCAUGUGUAAUGGAGUUUCUCCAUACUGCAAAUUUCAGGAUGAUAACAACCACAACGAAAUCAGAUGUGUUAAUCAAGAGAAGCUUGCAUAAAUGUAUAGAAAGAUCUAAGCAAUUGGUAUAAAAUUUGACCAGGAAACUGACACAUAAGCAUGUACUCUUCGCUUACCAUAUUCCUAGGCUCCAGUUCAACCUUCUCAGCUCCUUGCCAAUCAAGAAGAAAUUUAAUUAUAUCAGCCCUGUUGUAACCAGCAGAAACAUGAAGUGGAGUCUGCGCCAUCUGCAAUUAAGCAAAUCAAGUUAAAAUUUAAAGAAAAUAAAAUACGGCCAGAUAAAAAGAUGCAUGAACUUUUCUUCUUUCUUUAACUCAGUCACAGAUACCAUAGUCAACCAUACAAGUGACAACAAAUUCACCAGUUUCCAUUCAAUUGUGUCCAUAACAGAUCCACCAAUCAAUCACAAGAACAAAACGAGCAAAAAUACACGAACCAACCCAGCAGAUAAAAUGAAGCAAGAUCUUUCAUUUUCACAAUAUACCCGUUAAAGAACACCAUUUUCACAGAACAUAGAAAAACCCACCCGGAAACAAAACAGAAUCAUGAACAUGAUGAGAAUUAAAGAAAGGAAACUAAUGGGAUCUUACAACAGGGUUUCUUUCAUUGAGGAGAUAAGGGUUUCCACUGAGUAACCUUUGGAACCCAAGAAGAUCUCCCGAUUGAGCACAGCUAUGAAUGGUGGCAGGCUUGGAAGUUCUCGACCCUUGACCCUGACGAUUCCGCUGCAUUGUUUCUGUGUUCAUUUUAUGACUUUCUUUUCCUUUCCUUUAUUGGUGGCUUCGCUUCUAUUUCCCACCAAACAAAAAGAGAGCGAAAGAAUUUGGAUUUCUUGGAAUUUCCUCUUGGAGCGUCCUUGGCGGUCAGUCUGUAAUAUAGCAGGUCCGACUUUAGUGCACAAAUCUAACACUUCCGUCCAAUUUUUCUUUUUCAUCGGUAUCACUUUUGGAAAAACUAAAUUAUCUCAUGUGUGGGUCUGUAAAUCACGUGGAGAUAAAUGUACGAAUGCCCAAUUUGUUUUACGGUUGAAAAAUAUUUUAAAAAAUUAGUUUUUUUUCUCAAAAUGAUUUUUUAAUAUUUUUAAAUCUUUUUGAUGAACUAAUACAAAAAAAUAAAAAAUAUAUAUAUUAUUUUAAUACAUUUUCAAAUAAAAAAACAUUUUACGUUAUUAUAAUAUCAAACAAACUUCUAAAUAUCACUAUGAAAAAAUUAAAUGUUGAUGGAUCUAGUACUUAUCCAAAGGCACAUGACACAAGCUCCAACUUGAGUUCAAAUUUUGAUGAGCAAGGUGUAUAUUGUCACGGCGGCGCGAGCCGACGCGACGUCGUCUGGCGAUGGCAGAAGCUCUUGUCGUGCCUCCUGGUGUGAGGUGUGAUGUGUUGGAAAGGUUUUUUAGAUUUAAUCAUAAAGUUAUGGUUAAUUUUUUGGAGUCGCCACCUAGUAUUAUGGUCACUAGAAACCUAUGAUCUGCGAGAGUCUAAGUAAAGGACUGGUUGUGCAAGGGGAAGACGCAUCACCCCCAAUGCACCCUACCUAAGGUAAGCUGCAUUGUUGUUUGAUUGUUUUUUUCUAAGUCGGGUUUCUAUUCGUUAGUUUUUUCUAAGGCUCAAGGCAAAUUUCUCUUCAUGAGAGAGUCUCUACCUUAUCGGGUUAAAACCUAGCAGUUCUAAAGUCUGAAUUUUAGCAUCGCAUUUCUACACCUUAUAUCUUUAAUACUUGAGGGUGUACUUUAUCGUGUAAUUUUACACCCCACAAAUAUUAAAGUCUACAUCUGGAUCAUAAAAAAAAGAUUGGAAAAAGAUUUUUAACAUGUUGGUCAAAUCCUAAUGGAUAAUCAUAAAUUGGUUACGAUAUUCAUUUUUGGAUUUUUUUAUUCAUGAAAAAGAUGCAAUUUUUGUUUUUUAUGAAAAAUAUGCUUGAAAUUUUUUUUAGGAUUUGGCCAUAUGCAACAAAAUAUUUUUUUCUUUUUGAAAAUGUUUUGAAAUUUAUUUUUUUUUGAAAUAUUUCGGAGAAAACCGGGUAUUUUAAUGCCGGAUUUGUAUUUUACAGUGUAAAUAUAUAGCUCGAUAUUAUGCAAAAUUGGUAGAAAAAUAUACGAGAAAAAUCACAAUUUUUUUUUCAAAGUAUUUUUGAAUUUUUUUUUUUAAUAUAAUAAUAACAUAUAAUAUAUUAUUAUAUUAAUGCAUUACAAAGAGUUAUGUUGCAGAAAGUGAACAGUUACUGUUCACUUUCUGCAUGCAACCAAAUGGUUGCAUAAGUUGGAGAUGGGCGGAGGAGAAGGCUACCAAGCGCGGUGGUGGUCUGACCACGAAGGACGUCGUGCGGUGGUGAGACCGGCGAUUGGAACUGGUUGCAGGUGGCAGAGCAGGAAGAAAGAAGGAGAAGAAAAUCUGCAGGAGAGAGAGAGAGAGAGGGACC
This 5557-nucleotide long non-coding RNA is filed under the name Populus trichocarpa (black cottonwood). Its description in RNAcentral is "long non-coding RNA (PTRI_LNC001787)". The record is from RNAcentral. Lineage: Eukaryota; Viridiplantae; Streptophyta; Magnoliopsida; Malpighiales; Salicaceae.